AAAUAAAACUCUCUUCCCAUAUGAAAACAAAAAGCAGGUGAAGUUUCACCUGACGGUCACAUGUGCGACUAAUCAAUAUUUAAAACGAAAUCAAGUAAACUUGAAAAUUAAAUGAGACGUUGCGGACCAUUGGGAAAAAAUGUAGAUUGUCUUUUAUUAACGCGUUGGUGUGAAAAUAUAACACCCAGACAUUGAUGUCCAAUUGGAAGUCCAAUGAACUCCAAGGAAAAGCAAUCGUUUAAGAAAUUCACAAUUUUUUCAAAAAACAUUCGAAGGGUUCCCGUCGACAAAAAGAAGGUCGUCUCGUGGCCUCUGAGUGAUUAAAUAUAUUUUCACGUGUAGCCUUACCAAGGCCCUCCAUGUACUGAUUCCUAAUUGAUUGCACUGUGUCAUUGGUCAGUCGAUACAUAAUAAUAAUUUUCAUACAUCUAAACUUUCAAUUUUCAUUCGUUACAAUUUUUUUCAUUUCAGUCAUAAAUUAUAAAUUCCACAGUUAAAGUUACAUAAUUCCCUUUUCUCGUUGAAUAAUAAUAAUAAUUUAUUCUUUGUUAGCUUUUUUUUUCUAAACUAUAAUAAAAUAAAAUUUUAUCCUCGAUUCAUUGAGGUCAAGAUGAAAUUCUAAUAGUGAUUUCCUUUAGAAAUUUAAAAAAUUAUUAUUAAUAAAUAUUAGCUUCUUAUUACAAUUAUUAAAAAUUAUACGAAGAUUUUGUUUUAAUACUUAAAACAUUGGAAAUUGUUUUUUUAAAAAAUAAUUUUGUUUUCUGUUGCAUUUUAUAGAAAUAUUAAAACUUGCAUAACAAUUGAAAAUGUGAAUCUUCAUCUUUAUAUGAAAGGUUGAAUAAUAGACACAAAUCUCUUUCUGUCUAAAUCUUCUCACAAUAAUUUAAUAGAAUUAAGUAUUCUGACGUAGAUAUGGUACUAAUUUGUAAUUUCAAAAACUAUAUUUAGGCCCUAUGUCUUGAUUAGAUCACUUUUUACAUCAUGAGAAAUAUUAAACUGUUUAUCAGUCAUUGUAUGAUUAGAUUUUUUUUUUUGCAAGAUCAAUUUUUUAAAAUAGAAAUUCUAAAAAGUAUACGACAAAUUUUAUUAUUAGUUUAAUUAAAAAUUCAUUUGAUUUUUUAUGCAGACAAGAAAUUAGAGAAUCUGAUUACGAGAUACAAAAAAAAUGUUUUAACUGAAAGCAACCGAAUUUUUGUAAGCAGGAAAUUUUUCUUUUAAUAGAAGAUUGAUUCUUAAAUUAAGUGUUAUCAGGAAUUUAAAAAAUUGUUUAAUUGUUUUAUCUUCAUUAUUAUAUUUAUCUUCAAAUUUCUUUGCAUAAAAAAAAAAUUAAUUUCAGGAAACAAUUAAAAUUUUUUCUACAACAAUCAAC
Leptopilina boulardi is the source of this 1369-nucleotide long non-coding RNA. RefSeq lists it as uncharacterized. The record is from RefSeq and is a predicted model, not a curated record. The transcript has 4 exons. NCBI's taxonomy places the organism in Eukaryota, Metazoa, Arthropoda, Insecta, Hymenoptera, Figitidae.